UCGACGGGCCCUAUCUUCCAUUCCUAAAAUAAAUCCAAACGACCCUCUAAACUAAUUCAUUUCCUAACAACCUGCCACCCUUGAAUCCCUUUUCCCCUCCAAUUCUCUCUGCAACCUCACUCAAACCUUAGCCUCCUCCACCCAAACAAACCCUAAUCCCCUUCGAUCUUCACCCAAUCCAUGGACUCCCGUGGCUGUUUGAGACGUGUAUUUGUCUCCUACGUCUCCUAUUGGCCGGAUUUUAUGAUUUCGUGGAAUGAUCUCAAAGAGAUCUAGUCGAGACCUUGAUCAACUUCUGUCCACGGUCUUUUUCGGCCAUCCAUGGCCGUUUGAGUCUAAUCCAUGGCUUUUCCGACUAAAAACCUGUAAUGAUCUAUUGUUUUCUAAUCCUCUUUGGGAUCUCUGAAACCUUAACUCUUGAGAUCUUUUACUUUUCUUUAAGAUAUGUCUUAGAUUUGAUGUAUCCAUGAGUUUUAACAUAUUUUUCUUCGUCUCUAUUAUUUUCUGAAAAACCAUAGCUAAAAAUCAUCCGAUCUUUUUAGAUUUGUGAUGAAUCUAAGGGUUGCUUAAGGUUUUCACUUGUUUUCCUAAACAUUUUUCCGAUUUCAAACAAUUUGUUCAUUCCCAAACUAGGGUUCGAAAACCCUUUUGCAAAAAAUCAAUUCUUUCCGAUUACUGUGAUUUUAGCAUGUUUAAAUGUUUCCUAAGUCUUUCCGUUUGACUAGAUUCAUUUCUCAAGAAACUCUAAUACUUUAGGGUUUGAUUCAAAGUUUGAAUUAGUUUGUGAUGUUUUUGCAUAACUAUGAUUAACAUUCUAGGCUUCAUGUGUGUUCUAUAUGAUAUUAUGCUUCUUGUUUUCAUUUGUUAUUAAGGUUUCUUUUAUUUUGUCCAAACAUGUGUUGUUUAUAGGUCCGACUAUUUUUUUUCUUUCACUGAUUGAUGCUGAUUCUAUCAAUCUCCUUAAACGCACAUAUUUGAUUUUAUGCAUAUUCCUUGUUAUUCUGCACUGAUUUGUUGAUAUUUCUUCCUAACUUUUGUGAUACUUUCCUUAGCUAGUACUAAGUCACUGUGAUUUUCCGUGCCAUCUAUGAUUGUUUGAACUGAUUUUCAGAAUAAAAUUGUACUCUAACUUGUUUAUGUGUUUUUAAUUAACAUGUACUUUCCUUUUGUUUAAACUAUUUUUUACUUAGACCUCGUUACAUGCUACGUGCUUUUACUAUUCAUAUUAUGGUAAAAUUAAUUUUAUAAAUAAUUCUUUUCUUUAUUUGAUAUAACUUGUACAUGUUUGUACUAUGACACCUUAAUUGAGUGGAGUCUGGGUGUUUAAUUGAUUCUGAUUUGUAUUAUUUGUAUAUAUAUGCCAAGUCAUAACUUAUUACCUUAAUUUCUACCUAUUUUUGUAAAAACUAUACGUAGUCUACAAUCUCUUUUUUAAGCACACAAACAACGAGUUUGGUACACACACAUACACAAUCAAACUCCCCUUUAUUUCUCUACUACUUCUUUGUCUAGCCGAAUGAAAGCCAAGGAUACACUGUAGAACUCUUAUUGCUUUACUUUUUCUACAUUUUUCUUGUUCAACUGGUAUGUUCUUACUUUAGAUUCUGAAAUUCAACUCUAUGUGUUCCCUUGUAAUCCUUGUCCCUUUCUGCACUAACUUAACAGCGCAUGCUAUUCAAUUGUACUUUUUGUUUACUACUUUACUCUGCAUGUAUAAAAUAUUUCCCUCAUUUGUUCAAAUGUAAUCAUCAUGUUCACUUGUUCCUGUUUAUGUCCUCCAACUAGCCUGCCUCUUAAUGUACUUGAUUUAUGACUAAUUAUGUGUUUCUCAUUUGGAUCCUUUAUAUCCACAACCCCUACUUGUCUGUUUGUGACUGCUAAAGAUAUACUACUCUUUGAACUUGUUUUGUGUGUGUUGUUUUUGCUCCUAUCCCCCUUCCCUUUUCAAAAAUGGUUUUCACUAUGCAAUUCUUCUACUAUUUUACGAACUUAUUGAAAAUUUAUAAUUUUCUAAAAAAAUUAAUACAACUCAACUCCUUUGAAUCUAUGUCAAACGUUAUCACCUAUACUCUUAGAAUACUAGGUUCUUCCCCUUCUGUGUGAGCCUUGACAUGGGAUCCUCGAUCUCCCUCUGAACUUACACACAUAAGAGCUUACCCUUCAACAUUGCAUUCACUCUAUUAGUUAUGCAAUCUGGGUGUGAGCACUGCCCAAGACCCCUUGAGGUCCUUAGGGAACUCUAAGAUAUCCAGAUAUGAGAAAGGCUAUGAACGAUAAUGGCAUUUUAGGUAGAUUCUUACAUAUCUCAGAGAAAAAGUCCUAAUCAAUCUUUCUAUAGUUGUAACUUCUUUCAUUUAUGCUUAUGUAAGUCAAUCACAUGGUCUGCAAAUAAUUUGUAAACAAGUAUUGGGGUGGCUAGUGAAAAGGUAUGGGGAAAUAUGCAAGUUAUAAUUUGUUAAGAGUAUAAAACAUGUUAUUAUGUUUAUAUUUCUAAUUGUGCAAUAGAAACCAUGUUAAGGAUGUAUACAUGCAUUAGAAAUCAUGUUCGACUAUGUUUCUUGCUUCAGCACCUCAUUCAUUAUUAUGUGCUUCAUGUCUAUUACUUAGUAAUCCUGGCGCUAAGAUAAUAACAACAUUAGCAAAAAAGAUGUUACUCAUGAAGUUGAAUUUCAAUGAUUCUGCAACUCUUAUGUUCACUUAGAAAUCAUGCUGUAUGAACUCUAUUUCCCACUGCCCUGCCAUUUGCAUGUGCAUAUUAGAAAUCAUGUUCUAGGAUUCUAUUUGUAUAUAGUUUAAAACAUCUAGUUAAUUAUUGAUUCAUGAAAAGGUAGUAAGGUAAUAAUUUCCACAUUGUGAUGAUUCGAAUAAAAUAGGUAACAAUCUCUGCAACUACAAUAGCAUUCUCUUAGUGUAAAAUGAUUUCUAGAAAGUCUUAAUAAUUCGGAAUAACUAGUGCAUAUUGGUUCACGCCUAGGAAUUCCUUAGGUAAUAACCUAAAUAAAACUGGAACUACCUUUGUUUAAUAAUCAAACUAUUAAUGUCGGCAAGAAAACCUGAUUCAGACUUAUUUUCAAAGUCAUGUAAUACAUUUGGUUUUGAUGUUAUCCCUU
This 3110-nucleotide long non-coding RNA is filed under the name Nicotiana benthamiana. RNAcentral describes it as "long non-coding RNA (NBEN_LNC024297)". The record is from RNAcentral. Lineage: Eukaryota; Viridiplantae; Streptophyta; Magnoliopsida; Solanales; Solanaceae.